RNAcentral lists this ribosomal RNA (449 nucleotides) under uncultured Anaerolineaceae bacterium. Its description in RNAcentral is "bacterial SSU rRNA". It matches the Rfam family "Bacterial small subunit ribosomal RNA", at positions 919 to 1382 of the family's 1533-position model. Lineage: Bacteria; Bacillati; Chloroflexota; Anaerolineae; Anaerolineales; Anaerolineaceae. The record is from RNAcentral.
ACCCGCACAAGCAGCGGAGCGUGUGGUUUAAUUCGUUGCUACACGAAGAACCUUACCUGGGUUUUGACAUAUAGGUUGUAGGGAACUGAAAGGGACCGACCCUUCGGGGAGCCUAUACAGGUGUUGCAUGGCUGUCGUCAGCUCGUGUCGUGAGAUGUUCGGUUAAGUCCGCUAACGAGCGCAACCCUCGUCGUAUGUUAUAUGUGUCAUACGAGACUGCCGGUAAAAGCCGGAGGAAGGUGAGGAUGAUGUCAAGUCAGCAUGACCUUUAUAUCCAGGGCUACACACACGCUACAAUGGUCUGUACAAUGGGUAGCCAAGCCGCGAGGCGGAGCCAAUCCUGAAAGCAGGCCUCAGUUCAGAUUGCAGUCUGCAACUCGACUGCAUGAAGCCGGAGUUGCUAGUAACCGCAGGUCAGCAAUACUGCGGUGAAUACGUUCCCGGGUCUU